UGCGUAGGCGGGGCAAUAAGUCAGUAGUGAAAUCCUGCAGCUUAACUGUAGAACUGCUAUUGAUACUGUUGUCCUUGAGUAUAGUUGAAGUGGGCGGAAUAUGUAAUGUAGCGGUGAAAUGCAUAGAUAUUACAUAGAACACCAAUUGCGAAGGCAGCUCACUAAGCUAUCACUGACGCUGAGGCACGAAAGCGUGGGGAGCGAACAGGAUUAGAUACCCUGGUAGUCC
RNAcentral lists this ribosomal RNA (229 nucleotides) under uncultured bacterium. Its description in RNAcentral is "partial 16S ribosomal RNA". It matches the Rfam family "Bacterial small subunit ribosomal RNA", at positions 568 to 796 of the family's 1533-position model. The record is from RNAcentral.